This is a long non-coding RNA of Papaver somniferum (opium poppy), 2699 nucleotides long. RefSeq lists it as uncharacterized. The record is from RefSeq and is a predicted model, not a curated record. NCBI's taxonomy places the organism in Eukaryota, Viridiplantae, Streptophyta, Magnoliopsida, Ranunculales, Papaveraceae. The transcript is spliced from 6 exons.
UCUUCUUCUUUCUGCUUCUCCUCUCUUCUAUUUCUCUUCCCUUCUUCUGCGUUUCUUCUUAUGCCGAAUUUUGUGAGAUGAGAUUGACGCUGAGUUGUAAAUUAAAUCAAACAAUGAAACUUGAUAGAUGAAGAAGGGGAUGAUAUAUCCGUGGAUAGAGAGAAAGAAGAUGAUGUGGUGGUGAAUCGUGAAGAUGAGACAUAUAAGAAGAUUAGGGUUUCGUCUGAAUUUGAGAUGAUUUGAGAGGUGAUUGGGUUGCUAUUAGAUAAAAAAACAGUAGGGUUGUAGCAGAAUCGAAGUUCUGAAGUUGAUUCAGUGAUCAAUCGAAGAAGUUAGACUUAGGGUUUCUCAAGACAAUGUGAGAGAAGUAUUAAGAGUUCGAUUUGGUGAUGAUGAAGAUGAAAUUAAGGAUGGGUUUCACGAACAGAUCAUGAAGAAGAAGUUUGUUGUGUUAUUUGAGAAUUCGAUAGGAGAAAUUGAAGAAUUAAGGUUCAUGUGUUCUUUCCCAAAAUUGAUUUAGGGUUUCAAUAGAAUUGGAUUGAGGGAAAAGCAAUUCAGUGGAUGCUGAUACUUGGGUAAGUCUCUAAAUUGAUUGAGUUAUAGUAUUUUAAUCUGAAUUGUUUUAAUUAUUGAGAUUGGGUGAUUAUGAAUGAAUAUGAGUUUUAGAUGAAUGGGAUGAGGUUGCAGAUGAUAAUGGAAAUGAUGUCGAAGUAAGGUUGCUAUGUUUAUUUUGAUGGUUCAAGUUGAUUAAGAUUAAGUCAGUUAUGUGGGUGUGCAUCUGAGUUCGUUUAGCUGACAAUGAUGAUUGUAGUAAUUGAAGUUUAAGUGUGUUAGAAUUGAAAUUGUUAUGGUUUGGAUGAAUGAGUGAUUACAAGAUAUGGGAUUGGAUAAUUAUGGAUGUCCGAAUUGUGGUUAAAGUUAUGAUGCAGUUAUUAUUGGGUUACAGAGAACUGUGAUGAAUUACAAAAGUUGUAGUGGAACUGAAUUGAGAUGUUGCAGGGGUUAUGGUCUGGUGAAGUACAAGGUUCUGAGGAAUGAUAGUGAAACUGAGAAGUAAAGGACAAGUUUAAUUGAGAGUUAUAGAUAUGCAUUGGCAGUUUAGCUGUGCUGGUUUGUUUGUGUUGAAAAGCUUGCAACUACUGCAAUUGCAGUUAGUCCUUAUCAACAACGCUCGAUUCAAAGUAUGAACCAGUGGAUCGUAGAUCUCGAGGUAGGCGUGGCUUGUCAUCAAAAGAGGCCUUUGUCGUUGGAUUCAUGCUCUGUUCUUAUUCGGAUCUAGAGACUAACAUAAUUCAGUGGAUAUAGGUCGAAGAAGAACGAUUUGUCUGUUGGUAGUUUAGUUCGGGUUAGGCGUAGGAAUGGAUCGUGGUGGCCGUGGCGUAUAAUGGGAUUUCAUGAAUUUCCUGAUGGUUGCGUCCUUUCUCUGAAGGAUCAAACUCCGGUGAAGUUCUUGGGACGAUAUAAUGCAAACAUUUGGUCAAUUAGCAAGGGGCUCAACAAGACGUGCUAGUUGAUAUGGUUGCAUAAAGUCAUUCUUACAAGCAGAGAUUGGUACACCUUAUCAACACAACUACGCAUUUUGGAGUCAUGUUACAUGAAAGAAGAGGAGAAGAGGCAUAAUUCAUUAUUUUGGCUACGCUAGGUGCUAAUGGAUUUGAAGCCAAGGCAGUCACACUUAUUAAUCGGGGUAGCCACCUGCUGUGAUAAGGGCCAGUCUUAUACGCAGCAACAACAAAGCUAGGUGCUAAUACACUCGACCAGUUCUGCUCAUUUCAUCUCAGUCUACAACCAAAAUACGAAGAGCUGCUGCCAAGAGUUCACCGUUGUCCAACAAAGUCGACCAGCAGCUAGUCACGGUUCUUGUGGUCGUGUUUGAGGAGGAAAGGCGUGAUCCAGAAGCUCAGAACAACACGACAGAGUGAGAGAUUAAUACCGAGAAACCAGUUGGGAAAGAGUUGUUGUCUGUCAUUGAUUGGAAUGAAGAUCAAGGGAGAUCAGGACUGGGAUCUCGAAGAUGAGAAGGAAAUAAAGAUUGGGUAUUCAAUUUUGGAGAGUUUGGUUUGAUUUUGAAGUCGUUUUGCUUCCAAGAGAAGGCAGUGAAGAGAAGACAAGUUGCUGCCGUUAUGAUGAUAAGUGAUGAUGAAUGUUUCUGAUUUUUGAAUGAAUUAGAAAUGUGGAUGCUUGUGUAAUUUAAUUAUUGUCUCAGGGAAGGAGAUUGAAAGAUCUUAGGAUUCAACAUCAAGCUCAGAACUGUAUAUAAGCAAACUGCACACAGGUUGUUUGUAGAAAGAGCAUUUCUUCACAGUUUCAAGAUCAGCUGCGACCAGCUUAGUAUGUCAGAUGUAGGAGAUGUUAAAAAUGCAGACAAGGGAUUGUGCAACCAGUAUUCACAAAUCCAAGUAAGUCUUUUGCAUUUAUCAGCCAUGGUUACAUAGGUUGUACAAGGGUUCGACCAGACUUUCGACAAGAGUUUGAGGCGAGUAAUCAGUGAAGAGGGCAACAGUUCUGCCCAAGUAUUGUGUAGCUGCUAGUCUUGGCUCGAGGCUGUGCACAAGGGAUGUCUGGCAAAGGCAAAAGCUUGAUUUAGAACUUGAGAUAAACAUGGAAACAUUGGUCGAAUAUUCAAAGAUUGGGUUUGUAAAACUUGGACGAAAAACCAGUUAAGAGAGUGAAGCUUCUUGCCGUUGAUUUUGAUAGUU